This 478-nucleotide long non-coding RNA is filed under the name Cucumis sativus (cucumber). Its description in RNAcentral is "long non-coding RNA (CSAT_LNC000655)". The record is from RNAcentral. Lineage: Eukaryota; Viridiplantae; Streptophyta; Magnoliopsida; Cucurbitales; Cucurbitaceae.
AGACAGAUUGUCUACGCUUUACUUCCUUUCUUUGUUCUCGUUCCUAUCUUCAUCAAUGUUUAUUGGUUUGUUGCUUGUACGGUCAACCCCACUUGCAGUAAUGACUUCCCGAUGGUGUAUAGGAUUUUAGUUCUCAUCUUCAUAUUCUUGGUGAUUGGGGUAAUUGUGUGGAUUUUCAUCGUUAAUUGGCAUCGAAUUGAGCUUACGAUUCAAAUAAUUGGGGUUGCUUCGGAUGCAUUGUCGAUGAAUCUGGGUUUGUUUGUGGCUAUACCGAGUAUGACACUGGGGCUUUUGAUUUAUUAUGCGCCAAUCGUUCUGUUCUUGGUGUUUGCAAGGAUGAAUGGGAAAAUUUUACCCCAUCACCAUGUAUCAAGUGGAGAGUACAGUUGUGUUUGGAAGGAAGAUAAAUGGGUACCUGCUUACUAUGCUUUGGCGAUUCUUACAAUGUUGUGGUCUGGUGCUGUAAUGGUGGAAGGAC